CAGAAAACCAAGAUUGAAAAAGCGGAUAUAUCAAAGUUAUAUAUAAGUUACAGCCCUCUCUAAAGUAUUAUGAUAUUUCUGGUUGUCAAAUGCAUCAUUUUUACCCCACUUCAGGCUUCAUCUAGUACCAGCUGGACAGGACGCUGGGUUCUUCUUGUCUCUGUGCAGGCUGUAGGUAGGGGCAUGAUGAUGACCUUGUCAAUAAACCAUUUAUUAUGUUGUGUCAUUUUAGGCCGAACAAAACACCAGAACUGUAAUAUGAAUUUAAUGGGCCAAAUGUUGGAAAAUGAUGAUUUUUAUGGUUGUAUAUUUUAAUAUUAAGUUUUCAUUUCUCAUCAGUUUAAAGCCAGAGGCUACUUUUUAAAGUGGAGAUGUAUUAUUUUUAUGAAGUGACAUUUAUUAUGAUAGUAUGUGUAUGUUUGGUUGCCAUUUUAGAGGUCACAGGUCGAUGUAUAUGUUUAUGCAGGAAUUUUAUCUGAGCUUAAAUCAUGUUUGUUGAAAAAGGUUGAAUAGUUUCAGCAAUGAACUGAAAAAGGAAAAGUAGUGUCGGAUCAAAGUUUGUACAACAGCUUAUGUAUUGUUUUAGGGUAAAUAGUCAUGUGUACAUUAUUUUCAAUUGUUGAUGAUUCCCUGCCAUUGUUAAUGCUUAAUGGAUGCACCAGUAACCAAGCUUGUAUUGUCAAGAUUCUUUUCAGAAAUGCCAAUGAUCAGCAAUACUAACAUUCUGCAAAUCCAUUUCGUGCUUUAAUUGUUUCAACAUGGAUAUUGUUAGAGUUCUCUGUUGCUAACGAUCAUGUGUUGAUAACGAUGCCUUGUUGUAGUGAUCUGCCUGGUAGUGAAGCAUCAAGCAAUACAUAUUUGUAUGUAGGAAUGCAGUGUUAAGCAGGACUAAUCAUCAGUGAAGACGUAGCCUUUUCUAUGCAGAGUGAUAUGGUAGGGUUGUUGCCAUGGAUACAGGGGCCGUUUAUUACUUGUACAGGAUGAUGAACAAUAUUUUCCUUUUGUGGAUUUUGUUUUGCACUAACUCAUGCAACCAUGAUCUGAUAUUUUGCUAAAGGACAAAUAUUGUUCACUAUAUAUCAUGUCAGAGCUUUGAUCAGAGCAGAUUUAUGUAUUCAUUUUAAUUUGUUACAUAACCAGGCUCUUGUUUUAGUAACUACUGCAAGAGAAAGAUUAGGAUGCAUUAGUUGUGUUUCCAUGGUUACAUAUAUUAUGUUUAAUGACAGAGGUAUGAAGUCAUCCUCGGGAUUUGUAGAAUUCCGAAAUUGGGACCAGUGGAUGUCAGGUGUGAUCCAGAUUUUAAAGAGACCAUUUUACAACAGAACUUUUAUUUAUUGCCAUUUUAUAAUGAAAUUGAUUUCUUUGUAAUGCUUCUGCAAAAUAAUUGUGAUAAUUGACAUCAGUUGAGUGUUCUAAGAACUACUUAAGAAUAAAGUCAAAGUUAUUUUGUUGAACUGACAACACGUUUCUGGCCAUUCUAUUUGCCUCCCAGCUGUUUACUAUGUGUUGGUCCUCAUGCAUGGGCUAACCUCCAAAUCGCGUCACUUGAUCCAGACUGUUCGGUGACUGUACAUCAUGGUUUCUUAAUAAAAUUAAUAAAGAUUA
Molecule: long non-coding RNA, 1605 nt
Organism: Haliotis rubra (blacklip abalone)
Lineage: Eukaryota; Metazoa; Mollusca; Gastropoda; Lepetellida; Haliotidae
Exons: 2
Source: RefSeq, a predicted model, not a curated record